AAAGGCCAGCCUUGAGCAGGCUUCCCCCUCGGCCUGGCAGCCGGGCUCUCCUGUUCAGCCCCCAUCCCAUGGAGGGGCAGAGUUUGAGGAGGACGGGAGUGAUGCCCGAGCGAGGGCACUCUCUGAAGCUGGCAUCUCCUCCAGGGUGCCAACAGGGUCCCUCCUCCUGCCCUGGCUGCAGCCUCCUGAAGGGUGAUGAUAUUUCUGUGUGGUCGCCAUAAAGGAUAACGUUGCCACUGCUGCCAGCCGCGCCUCGACGCCGGGACGGACAGCCCACCGGGGACCGCCGGGACCCGGCGAACAAGCCCCCGAUGCAGCCCGGUCCGGCAGCCCCUGCGGAGGAGGAGGAGGAGAGGCCAAAGCAAGUCGCCCUGGCCGCCACCGUCGUGACCAGGAAGAGACGCUCCACCCUCCUCCCUGAGCGACGGAGGGCCCCCCGCCCCCGGGGACCGGCCCAUCGGUGGCCUGUUGCCAGCAGGCGAGGGCGGGUCUGUUAGGCUUGGCACCCCCACCCCCACCCCCCGCGCUUGCCCGCCCGGCUGCUCCGGGGGGGUUGUUGGGCACGCGCGGGUCCCCCCCCCGGGGGGGAUUGCACGCGGGGAGGAAAAGGGGCCUCUGAAGG
Long non-coding RNA from Sphaerodactylus townsendi, 622 nucleotides. RefSeq lists it as uncharacterized. The transcript has 3 exons. Lineage: Eukaryota; Metazoa; Chordata; Lepidosauria; Squamata; Sphaerodactylidae. The record is from RefSeq and is a predicted model, not a curated record.